RNAcentral lists this ribosomal RNA (905 nucleotides) under Acinetobacter sp. Its description in RNAcentral is "bacterial SSU rRNA". It matches the Rfam family "Bacterial small subunit ribosomal RNA", at positions 65 to 964 of the family's 1533-position model. Lineage: Bacteria; Pseudomonadati; Pseudomonadota; Gammaproteobacteria; Moraxellales; Moraxellaceae. The record is from RNAcentral.
AGCGGGGAAGGGUAGCUUGCUACCUGACCUAGCGGCGGACGGGUGAGUAAUGCUUAGGAAUCUGCCUAUUAGUGGGGGACAACAUUCCGAAAGGAAUGCUAAUACCGCAUACGCCCUACGGGGGAAAGCAGGGGAUCUUCGGACCUUGCGCUAAUAGAUGAGCCUAAGUCAGAUUAGCUAGUUGGUGGGGUAAAGGCCUACCAAGGCGACGAUCUGUAGCGGGUCUGAGAGGAUGAUCCGCCACACUGGGACUGAGACACGGCCCAGACUCCUACGGGAGGCAGCAGUGGGGAAUAUUGGACAAUGGGCGAAAGCCUGAUCCAGCCAUGCCGCGUGUGUGAAGAAGGCCUUUUGGUUGUAAAGCACUUUAAGCGAGGAGGAGGCUACUUGGAUUAAUACUCUAGGAUAGUGGACGUUACUCGCAGAAUAAGCACCGGCUAACUCUGUGCCAGCAGCCGCGGUAAUACAGAGGGUGCGAGCGUUAAUCGGAUUUACUGGGCGUAAAGCGUGCGUAGGCGGCUUUUUAAGUCGGAUGUGAAAUCCCUGAGCUUAACUUAGGAAUUGCAUUCGAUACUGGGAAGCUAGAGUAUGGGAGAGGAUGGUAGAAUUCCAGGUGUAGCGGUGAAAUGCGUAGAGAUCUGGAGGAAUACCGAUGGCGAAGGCAGCCAUCUGGCCUAAUACUGACGCUGAGGUACGAAAGCAUGGGGAGCAAACAGGAUUAGAUACCCUGGUAGUCCAUGCCGUAAACGAUGUCUACUAGCCGUUGGGGCCUUUGAGGCUUUAGUGGCGCAGCUAACGCGAUAAGUAGACCGCCUGGGGAGUACGGUCGCAAGACUAAAACUCAAAUGAAUUGACGGGGGCCCGCACAAGCGGUGGAGCAUGUGGUUUAAUUCGAUGCAACGCGA